CUAGCGUUGUUCGGAAUUACUGGGCUUAAAGCGCACGUAGGCGGCUUUGUAAGUCAGCGGUGAAAGCCUGGAGCUCAACUCCAGAACUGCCUUUGAGACUGCAUCGCUUGAAUCCAGGAGAGGUGAGUGGAAUUCCGAGUGUAGAGGUGAAAUUCGUAGAUAUUCGGAAGAACACCAGUGGCGAAGGCGGCUCACUGGACUGGUAUUGACGCUGAGGUGCGAAAGCGUGGGGAGCAAACAGG
RNAcentral lists this ribosomal RNA (242 nucleotides) under uncultured bacterium. RNAcentral describes it as "partial 16S ribosomal RNA". It matches the Rfam family "Bacterial small subunit ribosomal RNA", at positions 535 to 776 of the family's 1533-position model. The record is from RNAcentral.